This 20-nucleotide non-coding RNA is filed under the name Arabidopsis thaliana (thale cress). The record is from RNAcentral. Lineage: Eukaryota; Viridiplantae; Streptophyta; Magnoliopsida; Brassicales; Brassicaceae.
UCGGCAACGGAUAUCUCGGC